Molecule: ribosomal RNA, 274 nt
Filed under: Encephalitozoon intestinalis
Lineage: Eukaryota; Fungi; Microsporidia; Unikaryonidae
Description: partial small subunit ribosomal RNA
Rfam family: Microsporidia small subunit ribosomal RNA
Source: RNAcentral
UCACCAGGUUGAUUCUGCCUGACGUGGAUGCUAUUCUCUGGGACUAAGCCAUGCAUGUUGAUGAACCUUGUGGGGGAUUGACGGACGGCUCAGUGAUAGUACGAUGAUUUGGUUGGCGGGAGAGCUGUAACUGCGGGAAACUGCAGGUAGGGGGCUAGGAGUGUUUUUGACACGAGCCAAGUAAGUUGUAGGCCUAUCAGCUGGUAGUUAGGGUAAUGGCCUAACUAGGCGGAGACGGGAGACGGGGGAUCAGGGUUUGGUUCCGGAGAGGAUA